GAGCAUGCACAUUCACCCGUGUUCAAAAACCCUAUCUACCUACUUAUAAUACAGUGUUCAUUUAUCUCUCAAAACAACGGUAGUUUUGAACAUUUGAAACGGAAAUUUGUAACUUUCUGGAUUUUAGGCAGCUGUUUCUUCCCUUGUAUGCUGUUUUAGGAGUUUCUACAGCAGUACCCUGCAGAUCCUCCCAGAAUAGAUUGUUAUUAGGAUUUAAAAUCCAUGAUGAAAUUCCAGGGUGUUUUUUUCCAUUUAAAAUGUGCACUUGGAAUUUUAUAUAUUUUCAUUAGGCCUUAUUACCUGGCCACUGACCAACUGUUGUUACCUACAGAAGAACCCUUUUCUGCUCGGCAGUGGUGGUCUAAGCCUUUAGUCCCAGAACUCAGGGAGCAGAGGCAGGUGGAUCUCUUGAGUUUGAGGCCAGUCUGGUCUACAGAGCAAGUUUCAGGACAAAGAUACAAAAAAAAAAAAGAAAAGAGAAGAAAAAGAGAAAAACAUGUCUGGGGAAAAAAUUCAUUUUUUACAAGAGUAAGAUAUUACAUUCUAAAGCUUUCUGCCUAUGAUUUGUUCAAAUUUUUCUUCUGGUGUGUGGUCAUGAAUGUGUAGAACAUAAGACAACUUUUUGGAGUCGGUUGUCUCCUUAUACCAAACUCAGGUUAUGAGGCUUAGUGGCAAAUCCCAUCUCACUGGCUAUCUCCCAUGAAAGACAGUUUACAUGUGAGCAAAUGCACAUAGCCUCAGUUGACUACUGACUGCUACUAUCGCUAAGUCACUUUAACUAAAAUCUAGGAACUCUUUUUUUUUUUAUUUUAGAAAAAUGUGAGUAACUGGGCGAGUUGGGCUUCCUUCUUACCUUCAGGUAAUAGUAUGGGUUGUUGAGUGCAGUGUGAAGAGCGAUUCUUGGAGCAGCAUUUAAGUGCUCACGGAGUGUGUUGGCAGCACUGAAGUACACUACCUCAUGCAGAGGCUGGCUCUCAGGAGGCAGAAGGUAGUCUCUGAAACCGGGAAAUCAGGUGCCAGCUUUAGAUACAUACAUUUAUACAUACAUACAUACACGUACAGGUUGGUUUUCAAUUCCACAGUUUUGUCAAUCUUCUAUGAGUAUUUGCUGCUUAAUAAACAGUGAACUCAGCAACCAAACAAACACCAAGUAAUGGAACCCAUAUAGUUUCACCUAGUUUUAUAUGUCAAUACUACUUUUAAAACUUUCUCUGUAUUUGUGAUAUCUGGAAUUAAUGUUUUCCCCAGGCAGCAGGGCACAUCUCUGAGGCAUUUUUCCUAAUUGGAUCUGCCCUCAACACUGUCCUGGGAAAUGAAAAUUUGCACUUUCAGGAUGGUCAAGAUCAUUGUAGUCACCAAAAAACUACACCCCCCCCCC
This 1378-nucleotide long non-coding RNA is filed under the name Mus musculus (house mouse). RNAcentral describes it as "long non-coding RNA chr4:34574178-34575556". Lineage: Eukaryota; Metazoa; Chordata; Mammalia; Rodentia; Muridae. The record is from RNAcentral.